AACGUAGGACGCGAGCGUUAUCCGGAGUUACUGGGCGUAAAGCGCGGGCAGGCGGUCUGGCAAGUCUGAUGUGAAAUCUCCGGGCUUAACCGGGAGAGGCCAUUGGAAACUGACAGGCUGGAGGGCAGUAGAGGUAGGCGGAAUUCCGGGUGGAGUGUUGAAAUGCGUAGAGAUCCGGAGGAACACCAGAGGCGAAGGCGGCCUACUGGGCUGCACCUGACGCUGAGCCGCGAAAGCCAGGGGAGCGAACGGG
This 253-nucleotide ribosomal RNA is filed under the name uncultured bacterium. RNAcentral's name for it is "partial 16S ribosomal RNA". It matches the Rfam family "Bacterial small subunit ribosomal RNA", at positions 524 to 776 of the family's 1533-position model. The record is from RNAcentral.